RNAcentral lists this ribosomal RNA (405 nucleotides) under uncultured bacterium. Its description in RNAcentral is "bacterial SSU rRNA". It matches the Rfam family "Bacterial small subunit ribosomal RNA", at positions 355 to 774 of the family's 1533-position model. The record is from RNAcentral.
UUGGGAAUAUUGGACAAUGGAGGAAACUCUGAUCCAGUGACGCCGCGUGAAGGAAGAAGGUCUUCGGAUUGUAAACUUAUUUUAUCAGGGAAGAAAAAAAUGACAGUACCUGAAGAAGAAGGACCGGCUAACUACGUGCCAGCAGCCGCGGUAAUACGUAGGGUCCGAGCGUUAUCCGGAUUUACUGGGUGUAAAGGGCGAGUAGACGGAACUGCAAGUCAGAUGUGAAAUGCUAGAGCUCAACUUUAGAACUGCAUCUGAAACUGUGGAACUAGAGUGCAGGAGAGGUAAGCGGAAUUCCUAGUGUAGCGGUGAAAUGCGUAGAUAUUAGGAGGAACACCAGUGGCGAAGGCGGCUUACUGGACUGUAACUGACGUUGAGGCGCGAAAGUGUGGGGAGCAAACA